RNAcentral lists this ribosomal RNA (376 nucleotides) under uncultured bacterium. RNAcentral's name for it is "bacterial SSU rRNA". It matches the Rfam family "Bacterial small subunit ribosomal RNA", at positions 521 to 895 of the family's 1533-position model. The record is from RNAcentral.
UAAUACAGAGGGUGCAAGCGUUAAUCGGAAUUACUGGGCGUAAAGGGCGCGUAGGUGGGCGAAUAAGUCAGAUGUGAAAGCCCUGGGCUUAACCUAGGAACUGCAUUUGAUACUGUAAGUCUAGAGUGGAGUAGAGGGUAGCGGAAUUCUCGGUGUAGCGGUGAAAUGCGUAGAUAUCGGGAAGAACACCAGUGGCGAAGGCGGCUACCUGGGCUCCAACUGACACUGAGGCGCGAAAGCGUGGGGAGCGAACAGGAUUAGAUACCCUGGUAGUCCACGCUGUAAACGAUGAAAACUAGCUGUUGGUGGGUUUCGACCUGUCGGUAGCGAAGCAAACGCGAUAAGUUUUCCGCCUGGGGAGUACGGCCGCAAGGCU